Molecule: long non-coding RNA, 311 nt
Organism: Oxyura jamaicensis (ruddy duck)
Lineage: Eukaryota; Metazoa; Chordata; Aves; Anseriformes; Anatidae
Exons: 2
Source: RefSeq, a predicted model, not a curated record
UCCUUCUCUCCCCUGCAUGCCUCCUUUGUCCUGAAGUGAUGAGAAUGAAGCAUAGCCUAAAAAGGACUAUUUUUAUCUUCUGUAUUUGCUGACUUAAUGUAUUAAAAGGCAGCAAAAUCUACCAAUUAAAUUUCUGGAGGAAGAAUCUGGGAUGACAAUUUCUAGCUCUUCCCAAGAAUGUUUGUUUAUUUUUGGGGACAUACUUUUUCUGAGAUUCAUUUCUAUUUUUGUAAACUGUUGAUACCUGUUAUUUUCCUUAUCUCACCCAUUUCUUGUGGAAGUUGAUUAAAAUUUGCCUACUGUUCUAGGCC